This 582-nucleotide ribosomal RNA is filed under the name Oxalobacteraceae bacterium. Its description in RNAcentral is "bacterial SSU rRNA". It matches the Rfam family "Bacterial small subunit ribosomal RNA", at positions 812 to 1399 of the family's 1533-position model. The record is from RNAcentral. Lineage: Bacteria; Pseudomonadati; Pseudomonadota; Betaproteobacteria; Burkholderiales; Oxalobacteraceae.
UCUACUAGUUGUCGGGUCUUAAUUGACUUGGUAACGCAGCUAACGCGUGAAGUAGACCGCCUGGGGAGUACGGUCGCAAGAUUAAAACUCAAAGGAAUUGACGGGGACCCGCACAAGCGGUGGAUGAUGUGGAUUAAUUCGAUGCAACGCGAAAAACCUUACCUACCCUUGACAUGUACAGAAUCCCGAAGAGAUUUGGGAGUGUUCGAAAGAAAACUGUAACACAGGUGCUGCAUGGCUGUCGUCAGCUCGUGUCGUGAGAUGUUGGGUUAAGUCCCGCAACGAGCGCAACCCUUGUCAUUAGUUGCUACGAAAGGGCACUCUAAUGAGACUGCCGGUGACAAACCGGAGGAAGGUGGGGAUGACGUCAAGUCCUCAUGGCCCUUAUGGGUAGGGCUUCACACGUCAUACAAUGGUACAUACAGAGGGCCGCCAACCCGCGAGGGGGAGCUAAUCCCAGAAAGUGUAUCGUAGUCCGGAUUGUAGUCUGCAACUCGACUACAUGAAGUUGGAAUCGCUAGUAAUCGCGGAUCAGCAUGUCGCGGUGAAUACGUUCCCGGGUCUUGCACUCACCGCCCGUCA